Lupinus albus (white lupine) is the source of this 105-nucleotide non-coding RNA. The record is from the annotation of a GenBank genome assembly. Lineage: Eukaryota; Viridiplantae; Streptophyta; Magnoliopsida; Fabales; Fabaceae.
CUGUCUCUUGAAGUUCCUCUGAGCACUUCACACAUGUGUUUAGCUAGUCUUAUUAGAAAGAAUGGUCCUUAUUUGUGAAGUGUUUGGGGGAACUUCAGGGUUCAG